This 71-nucleotide transfer RNA is filed under the name Camelus bactrianus (Bactrian camel). It matches the Rfam family "tRNA". Rfam says of the family: Transfer RNA (tRNA) molecules are approximately 80 nucleotides in length. Their secondary structure includes four short double-helical elements and three loops (D, anti-codon, and T loops). Lineage: Eukaryota; Metazoa; Chordata; Mammalia; Artiodactyla; Camelidae. The record is from Rfam by way of RNAcentral. RNAcentral also lists the same sequence under 2 other names.
GAGGCUGUAGCUCAGUGGCAGAGUGUGUGCUUAGCAUGCACAAGGUCCUAGGUUCAAUCCCAAGCACCUCU